CCUACGGGAGGCUGCAGUGAGGAAUAUUGGUCAAUGGGAGAGAUCCUGAACCAGCCAAGCCGCGUGAGGGAAGACGGCCCUAUGGGUUGUAAACCUCUUUUGUCGGAGAACAAAACCCGGGACGUGUCCCGGACUGCGUGUCUCCGAAGAAAAAGCAUCGGCUAACUCCGUGCCAGCAGCCGCGGUAAUACGGAGGAUGCGAGCGUUAUCGGGAUUUAUGGGGUGUACAGGGUGCGUAGGCGGUCCGUUAAGUCAGCGGGAAAAUUGCGGGGCUCAACCCCGUCGAGCCGUUGAAACUGGCAGACUUGAGUUGGGGAGAAGUACGCGGAAUGCGCGGUGUAGCGGUGAAAUGCAUAGAUAUCACGCAGAACUCCGAUUGCGAAGGCAGCAUACCGGCGGCGAUCUGACGCUGAGGAACGAAAGCGUGGGUAUCGAACAGGAUUAGAUACCCUAGUAGUC
RNAcentral lists this ribosomal RNA (459 nucleotides) under uncultured bacterium. RNAcentral's name for it is "partial 16S ribosomal RNA". It matches the Rfam family "Bacterial small subunit ribosomal RNA", at positions 338 to 795 of the family's 1533-position model. The record is from RNAcentral.